Molecule: long non-coding RNA, 1954 nt
Filed under: Homo sapiens (human)
Lineage: Eukaryota; Metazoa; Chordata; Mammalia; Primates; Hominidae
Description: non-protein coding lnc-ZNHIT2-2:1
Source: RNAcentral
GAGACUGAGUCUCGCUCUGUCGCCCAGACUGGAGUGCAGUGGCACGACCUCUGCUCACUGCAAACUCCAAUUCCCAGGUUCACACCAUUCUCCUGCCUCAGCCUCCCAAGUAGCUGGGACUACAGGUGCCUGCCACCACACCCAGCUAAUUUUUUGUAUUUUUAGUAGAGAUGGAGUUUCACCAUGUUAGCCAGGAUGGUCUUGAUCUCCUGACCUCAUGAUCCGCCCACCUUGGCCUCCCAAAGUGCUGGGAUUACAGGCAUGAGCCACCGCACCCGACGAGGUCUGAUGGUUUUAUAAGGGGCUCUCCCUGCUUCGCUUAACACUUCUCCUUCCUGCUGCCUUGUGAAGAAGAUGCCUUGCUUCUCUUUCACCUUCUGCCAUGAUUGUAAGUUUCCUGAGGCCUCCCCAGCCAUGCUGUGAACUGUGAGUCAAUUAAACCUCUUUCCUUUAUAAGUUACCUAGUCUCGGGCAGUUCUUUACAGCAGUAUGAACCUGGAUUAAUAUACCUAGUAAUCAAUCCAUUACCAAGUCAUGGAAGGUCUACCUGCAACAUUUUCUUUGUAAGCCACUAUCAUCUCUUGUCCAACAACUGCCAACAUUUCCCAACUAAUUUCCCUAAUUCCAUUGAACAUACCAACAAUGUUCAUAAAGAAAGGCGAAGAGGAUAAGACAGAAAUGUGUAUCUGUAACAGGAGAUAUUUUGGUUUUGUUUUGUUUGAGAAAGAGUCUCACUCUGUCACCCAGGCUGGAGUGCAGUGGCGCGAUCUCAGCUCUGGAGGCUCCUGGAGGGUGGCACGCCCGGGGAGGGCAUGGAAACUCCAUGCUCCUUCUCCUACACCUCGCCCUAUGCACCUGCUCAUCUGUACCCUUUGUAACAUCCUUUGUAAUAAACUGGUAAAUGUGUUAUCCUGAGCUCUGUGAGCCACUCCAGCAAACUGAGCCCAAAGAGGGAGUUAUGGAAACCCCUACCUGGAGCCAGUUGGUCAGAAAUUCUGGAGGCCUGAGGCCCUGACCUGCAGCUAGUGCCUGAAAGUGGGGAGGCAGAUUUGGGACUGAACUAGUGCCUGAAGGGAGGCAGGCUUGGGGACUCAGCCCUCAACUCAUGGAAUCUGAUGCUAUCUCUGGGUAAAUAGUGUUGGAAUUAAAUCAGAGGACACCCAGCGGGUGUCUGCUGCUUGGUGUGUGGGGAAGAAACCCAACACAUUUGGUCACAGAACUCUUCUGUGGUCAUGAUUGUGGUGAUGUGAGAGCAUAGGAAGCACACAGUUUGCAUUUUUCCCAAACAAUGCCAUAAAAUAUAUACAAACCUUUCCAUAUGGUAGAUCACAAAGAAAAAAACCUCAUUCUUUUUUUUUUUUUGAGACAGGGUCUCCCUCCGUCGCCCAGGCUGCAGUGCAGUGGCGCGAUCUCAGCUCACUGCAACCUCCACCUCCUGGGUUCAAGCGAUUCUCCUGCCUCAGCCCCGAGUAGCUGGGAUUACAGGCACGUGCCACCAUGCCUGGCUAAUUUUUGUACUUUUAGUAGAGAGGGUUUCACCAUGUUGGCCAGACUGGUCUCUGACCUCAAGUGAUCCACCCGCCUCGGCCUCCCAAAGUGCUGGGAUUACAGGCGGGAGCCUAAGACAGGAGAAUCACUUGAACCCCGGAGGCGGAGGUUGCAGUGAGCCGAUUGGGCCACUGCACUCUAGCCUGGAUGACAGAGCAAGACUCUGUCUCAAAAAAAAAAAAAAAAAAAAGCUUGUUAAGAAAAGCAGUUUGUAACCAGGGAGAGUGAAAGCCAUCUGGAUGCGAGGAUGUUGGCUACCUUGGGAGGGGACUGGGUGGUAACUGGUAGGAGGCUCAGGGGGCUUUGCUGGUUAUGCUGUUUCCCGACCUGGAUGCUGAUUAUGUGACUGUGCUCCCUUUGUGAAAUCCAUGGAGCUGUCCACUUAUGUGCACUUUUCUGUAUGUCU